Molecule: ribosomal RNA, 247 nt
Filed under: uncultured bacterium
Lineage: Bacteria
Description: partial small subunit ribosomal RNA
Rfam family: Bacterial small subunit ribosomal RNA
Source: RNAcentral
AGAAUCAACGCUGGCGGCGUGCCUAACACAUGCAAGUCGAACGAGAAAAUGGUAGCAAUACCAUGAGUAAAGUGGCGCACGGGUGAGUAACACGUGACUAACCUACCCUUGAGUGGGGGAUAACUGAGGGAAACCUUAGCUAAUACCGCAUAAUACCCACGGGUCAAAGGAGCAAUUCGCUCGAGGAGGGGGUCGCGGCCGAUUAGUUAGUUGGCGGGGUAAUGGCCCACCAAGACGAUGAUCGGUA